RNAcentral lists this ribosomal RNA (248 nucleotides) under uncultured bacterium. Its description in RNAcentral is "partial 16S ribosomal RNA". It matches the Rfam family "Bacterial small subunit ribosomal RNA", at positions 57 to 305 of the family's 1533-position model. The record is from RNAcentral.
GCAAGUCGAGCGGUAACAUUUCUAGCUUGCUAGAAGAUGACGAGCGGCGGACGGGUGAGUAAUACUUAGGAAUCUACCUAGUAGUGGGGGAUAGCUCGGGGAAACUCGAAUUAAUACCGCAUACGACCUACGGGAGAAAGGGGGCAACUUGUUGCUCUCGCUAUUAGAUGAGCCUAAGUCGGAUUAGCUAGAUGGUGGGGUAAAGACUCACCAAGGCGACGAUCCGUAGCUGGUCUGAGAGGACGAUC